Molecule: long non-coding RNA, 4161 nt
Filed under: Sus scrofa (pig)
Lineage: Eukaryota; Metazoa; Chordata; Mammalia; Artiodactyla; Suidae
Description: lncRNA (ENSSSCG00005024524.1)
Source: RNAcentral
UUAUUUUUUGCUUUUUAGGGCCACACCUGCAGCAUAUGGAGGUUUCCAGGCUAGGGGUCCAAUCGGAGCUACAGCUGCUGGCCACAAUAGCAACGUGGGCUCCGAGCCAUGUCUGCAACCUACACCACAGCUCACGGCAACGCCAGAUCCUCAACCCCUGAGGGAGCCCAGGGAUCGAACCUGCAACCUCACAGUUCCUAGUCACAUUUGUUUCUGCUGCACCAUGACGUGGAACUCCUGGGUACACCCCCUGCCUUAAAACGAUGUUUCCUUUUUUUAGGCUGAUGGGCAACUUAAUGAGCUCCCUCCUGUGAGCAUGGAAAGACAUACCUUCAUUUUUUCAUAGAUCCCGAGCUGAUGUUCCAGAAUUCUAAAACAAGCAGGUCAUCUACCCGGGCUGAAAUUAUAUCCACUUUCUUUCACUUUUUUUUCAUACUUAACAUUUUUCACUUGAAAAGGACAGUGGAUGCCAAGAGCUAACUACGAACACGUGUUUUGCUCCAAACUUAAUUACCUAAAAGCUCAGAAAAAUCGAGAAGAAAAACAUGAAGACCGUAACAGAUUAACGGAGGAAACAAAUGCACGAUUCACAAAGAUGGGCCUGUGGUUGGUAAAGAAACAGGAGGAAAUAUUUAGCUUCCCCCCAAAUCAACAGGAGGCUAAAUGUACAAGAAUUUUAUACAAUUCUCAAAGAAAUGACACCUACCUUCUGCCUCAGUAGUUUCCCAUUUGGGAGAUGAUUUCACAGAAAUCAAAGCAGCAGCAACGUGUCAGCAGCAAGGUGGACCUGCUAGAGGGCUUCACUUUUCCCAGCGCCUAACGCGCAGAUGCCAAGAUUUCCCGGAGGAAAGUGGUGGCAGUUGCUGCUUCCAGGGGCCGUGUCCUCAGCCUGCGAUGUGGAAGACAAAACGAGGUGGCAUUUUCUAAAGGCAGGAGGAGGCCCCCAGGACCCCGCGCUAAGCUGGAAGCUGGCGAGCGUGACUCCUUUAUGGAAAAGAUCUUCUGUCCAACGCCACCAGCGUCUUGCUGGAGGGAGAGCAGCACGUGUAAGUGGAAGAUUGAACAUUACAGCGGGACACACGGGGAAACGGCUUUCUUGUCCCAGAGAGAGAUGUAGUCACGUCUUCUUUAGUUCCUACAAUAAUGUUUUGAAUUUCGAUCCCAUGCACAAUGUCGUCUGAUAUUUCAGGUGGGAAUAUUUUGGUUUUUUAAAAGAAUUUUUCUCAGGUUUUGUUUUUAAUGAAAGUAUAGUGGAUUUACAAUGCUGUGCCAAUGUCUGCAGUAUAGCAAGGUGACCCGGUCGUAUAUAUACAUUCCCUUUCUUAUAUUAUCUUCCCUUAUGGUCUAUCCCAAGGGACUGGAUAGAGUUCCCUGUGCUGUACAGUAGGGAGGUGGGGAUGUUUCAGUUUGAAUGUUUUUUUAAAAAAAUAUCUAGUCAGUGUUUUCCAUGUCUGACAUGGUCCAGAGAAGCAGAAUCUUCCAGAUAAAUGUUUGUCACCAUGAUGGCUGCUUAUAAAUCCUUACUCCCUUCCUCUCAUCCAAUUUAACUUGGGAGAGUGGAGACUUCGGUUUUAAAAGUUUUUUUUUUUUUUUUUUUUCAGAGUUCCCGUCGUGGCUCAGUGGAAAGAAAUCCAACUAGGAACCUUGAGGUUGCGGGUUCAAUCCCUGGCCUUGCUCAGUGGGUUAAGGAUUUGGCCUUGCCCUGAGCUGUGGUGUAGGUCGCAGAUGCGGCUCGGGAUCUGGCGUGGCUGUGGCUGUGGUGUAGGCCGGCCGCUGUAGCUCUGAUUAGACCCCUAGCCUGGGAACCACUAUAUGUUGCAGGUGCAGCCCUAAAAGGCCAAAAAAAAGUAUUUUUUCUUUGUUAUUCCCCACUUCCUUUUUUUUUUUUUUUAAAUUAGAGUGUAGGUGAUUUACAGUGUUGCAUCAAUUUCUGCUGUGCAGUAUAGUGACCCAGUCAUACGUACAUAUACAUCCUUUGGCUCAUGCCAUCAUGUUCUACCCCAAGAGACUAGAUAUAAUUCCCUGUGCUGCACAGCAGAACUUCAUUGCUUAUCCAUUCAAAUGUAAGAGUUUGCAUCUACCGACCCCAAACUCCCCGUCCAUCCCACUUCCUCCCCUCUCCCCACAGCAACCACAAGUCUGUUCUCUAUGUUUGUGAUGUUUGUUUUGUACAUAGGUUCAUUUGUGCCAUAUUUUAGAUUCCACAUAUAAGUGAUAUCAUAUGGUAUUUGUCUUUCUCUUUCUGACUUCACUUAGUAUGAGAAUCCUAGUUGCAUCCAUUUCGUUCUUUUUUAUGGCUGAGUACUAUUCCAUUGUGUAUACGUAACACAACUUUUAAUCCAUUCAUCUGGUGAUGGACAUUUAAGUUGUUUCCAUGUCUUGGCCAUUGUGAAUAGUGCUGCUGUGAACAUAGGGGUGCACGUAUCUUUUUGAAUUGUAGUUUUGUCCAGAUAUAUGCCUAGGAGUGGGAUUGCUGGAUCAUAUGGUAGUUCUAUAUUUAGUUUUCUGAGGAACCUCCUGCCUUGCUGGGUGGUUAGCUGGUCUCAUUUCGUCAUCUGGGCAGGAGUUGGGGCUGGAGCCAUGAUGGGCAGUGUGCAGAGACCUUGGCAUGGGGUGGGGGGCCGUGCCCUUCCCCCUGCUCUCCAGGGCCAUCCUUGGGGCACAUGAGUUCAGGGAGGGGUCUGUAUCUGUACCUUCUUUCUCUUGGGCUCCUGAACGUGAAACUUUUCUCAGGAGACAACAGACAGAGACUUUUGGCCAAAGUGCACCCUCUAAGGGUGUGUGUGCAGAGUGGAGGGGCCCUUCCAAAAGGUGGCAGGCCUGACGGCUGUCACCAUUACCCUGUCCAGCCCAGGAAGCCACUCCUGCUCCAGGCUCUGUGCUGUGAGCCUACUGCUCAGAUAUGACCACAUGAGCAUGGCAUCUUUCCAGAGAGGUGUUAUUAGCCAAGGGUUCCCGAACCCCAGGCAGGACUAUCCCAGUGGCCUUUCCUCUGCCCACUGGGAGCCUGCUCCAUGCUGGGCUUGAUCCAAGUGAGGAGGUCAGUUGUCUUCAGACUUGACCUCAGGGAAACGUGUGUGGGAUGGCUGAAGGGAACAUGGAAACGACAUUUUCAAUAAAUAUUCCAUGUACCUGUUAAGAACAGGGGCUGCUUGGAGUAAAUGUUGUGGCUCAGCGGUAAUGAACCCUAUCAGUAUCCAUGAGGAUGCGUGUUCAAUCCCCGGCCUCGCUCAGUGGGUUAAGGAUCUGGCAUUGCUGUGAGCUAUGGUGUAAGUUACAGAUGUGACUCGGAUGUGGCAUUGUUGUGGCUGUGGUAUAGGGCAGCAGUUAUAGCCCUGAUUUGACCCCUGGCCUUGGUAUUUCCACAUGCCAUGGGCGUGGCCCUAAAAAAAAAAAUACACCAAAAAAGAAAAGGGACUGCCCGGGGAGGGGGGUGUUGUCAAGAAAUGGGUCUGGGGAACUCGGCUCCCACCUGGAGCUCCACUUUCCAGCUGUGAGACCCCCAGGGAGCCAGGUUUUAUCAUCUGUAUAAAGAGACGGUAGGAGUGUGGGGAUGGCCUCUCCGACUAGGGGUCUGUCCAUCGAGUGGCCAGAUUGCACAGAUGAAUGCCACUGGGCUCCACUUCCAUGGCCCUCACUUCUUCUUUUUUUUUUUUCCCUCAAGGAUUUUUACUUCCUGGUACUAACAUUUUCCUUUUUUUUUUUUUUUUUUUUUUUCUGGCUGUGCCCUCAGCAUGAAGUUCCCUGGCCAAGGAUAGCACCUGAGCCACAGCUGUGAUCCAAGCCAUAGCAGUGACAAUGCUGGAUCCUUAACCUGCUGUGCCACCAGGGAAAUCCCUCUUUUCACAUUUUAUAGGAAUGUCACUUUCAGUGCAUGUUCCACAUGAGAAAAAGCUACUUUAUUCUUUUUUUUUUUGAAUAAAUUAUUUUUCACUGCCUUGUGGCAGUCAUUUUAUUAUUUUUUAUAGUGAUUUCAUUUUAUUUAUUUUAUUACUCAAAUGAAUAUCACAUCUGUAGUCGUAUAAUGAUCAUUCACAGGAUUUCCAUCCCAUAACCCAAGCACAGCCCCUCGCCCCCCAAACUGUCUCCUCCAGAGACCAUAAGUUUUUCAAUGUCUGUGAGUCAGCAUCUGUUCUGCAAACAAGUUCCGUCCGUCCUUUU